Long non-coding RNA from Rattus rattus (black rat), 2963 nucleotides. RefSeq lists it as uncharacterized. The transcript has 3 exons. NCBI's taxonomy places the organism in Eukaryota, Metazoa, Chordata, Mammalia, Rodentia, Muridae. The record is from RefSeq and is a predicted model, not a curated record.
AAGCAGUGCAGUGCUAUGAAGGUCCUUACUUGUGGCAUUGCCCUGCAACUUACCAUGUCUAGUUCAAAAGAACUAGAGACACUCGAGCUAUGGAAUGCAGUAGCCAGGCUCUGUGGGCCCCAAGGGUAGCUUGAUUGAUAAGGGAGAACUGUAUUUGUAGAGGUAAUAGUUGCUUAUUAUUUCUUUUUCCUUUUCUUUUUUUCUUUUGGAAUUAUGUGGGUGGGGUACUAACUCUAUUUAUACAACCAUUAACAGAUGUCAGUCAUGGUGUUUAAAAUCACUGGUGUUAAUGGGGAAAUUGACAUCCGAGGGGAAGAUACAGAAGUCUGUCUUCAGGUGAACCAGGUGACGCCAAGUCAGUUAGGCAACGUCAGUCUGCGGCAUUACCUCGGUAACCGUCCAAUUGGUUCUGACCAGAAAGCUAUAAUUCAUCCCAAAUCCUCUCCUGAGAUUUCUCUGAGGUUUGAAAGUGGGCCAGGUGCUGUCGUACAUUCUCUGCUUGCAGAAAAAAAUGGAUUCCUCCAAUGCCACAUAGAGAACUUUACUACAGAGUUCCUCACCUCUUCCCUUGUGAACAUUCAGCACUUCCUGGAAGAUGACACUGUUGCGACAGCAAUGCCAAUGAAGAUACAAGUGUCCAACACACAGAUAAACUUGAAAGUACGUCCACAGUCAGCCUCUUACUUCACAGACGCUCACACCGCCUUUUCUGGACUUGGGUUUGUGUGUGAAAUCAUGCUGUCUCUGUCAGAGUUUGUGAAGUGGAGUGACCGGUAUUUAUAGUGAAGGCUGCAGAGACCCCUUGUAGAGAGGGAAAUAGUGCAGGCAGUUUACGUUUAUAUUAAUCUAAUGUAACAUGAUUGUUUAUUCAGGUUGACCGUUUGAACAUUUUCAUUUAUUUCCAUAAGAACUUGCCAAUAUUUUCUCCUUAUCUGUAGGAUGACAGUCCCCGGGGUAGCACAGUGUCCCUCCAGCCAAGUCCCGUAACUGUGCACAUCGAUCAUCUCGUGGUGGAGAGGAAUGACGAUGGUUCUUUCCACAUCAGAGAUUCUCAGCUGUUUAACACCGGGACUGAUUUCAAAGACAGUGCCAGCAGCAAUUCAGAGGUGCGGACCAGGGGGACGUGCGACGUGAGGAAGCAAAGCAGUGUCACCCAAGCCACCCAGACGAGCCCAGAGGUUCCUUUGCCUUCACGGUCAGCUACCUUUCCUGAGGGCCCGGUUGACCUUACACGGGAGCAGGUACUGGGAACUUAGGUUUAAUUCUUGCAUUUGACAACUACCAAAACACCAGCAGUUAAAACACCAUCCUUAGUUUUUUUUGUAUCCUCAUGCAGUGGAUCAGAGAGGACAAAAUACCUGAAUUAAGUCUUAGAAAGUUUUGACCGUCUGAAAGAAAAUGCCUUAUUGGAGUGUUGACAGCAUGAGUCUGAAGGUCAGGAGAGAGUUGCUCCGGGCCAGGCUGUGUCUUGUCUGUGAGCUAGUUGAAUUGUAGCUCUAGUAAAGCUCACCUAAGAGCAUGACUCAGGUAAAAGAGAAAGUGGGCAACCGUGAAAUCUAAUAGAAAAAAGAAGGGAUCCCAGGAAGGGGUGGAGGAGGAGCAGGUGGGAAAGUGGCAAGUUGAAAGAACUGGUACAGGACGGAAAGGUGGAGAUGUGACAGAGAAGGGAGGUCACGUGUCUGAAGACACAGAAGCCCACGGGUACUACAGUGACACAGCAUCACUGUUAAAUUUGGAAUUGAGAAGUUAAUUAGUAUUUUGAAUUACUGGGUCAAGACUUAGGAACACAGUUAAUUGCAUAGUAAGUGCUUUCCAAUAGCUCCUGGCAGCAGUUUUCAGCUCACGUGGACCCUGACCAGCAUUGGGUGGUUUACCAUCUCAAGUGAUGCCACAUAAAAUAGUUACAUUUCCAGAAAGCGAUUAAAACCUCUCGUUUUCCAAAUGUCUUUUCAGCUCAUGGAGGAAAACGAGUGUCUUAGGCAAGAGCUGGCUCAGGCUAGGAUGGCACUGGCGGAGGCUCACUCGGCCAGAGAUGAGCUUCUCCACCAGAUGAAGAGGCUGGCCCAUCUGCAGCGGCCGUGAGAGCGUGGGCUGUAGCUCUGGAGAAGGAGGGCGUGUUUCAGAUGCGGAUGUAACCAGUUGGUGGGAGGCUUUCCUUUACAUGAAAUAAAGCGUGUGGUGAAGUGUGGCUGUUCCAGACCCUGUGGAGGAAACCUUGGCUGCAAGUGGCACAGUCAGCUGGGUGGCCCCGUGAAGGCUGUGCACACUGUAACACAGUUCCAUGCCCAGUGAAAAACGCCCGUUCCUAACUUCAGUGUCUCGUCCCAAGCAUUUUUAAAAGAAAAACGAAGACCUGUUGUGCUCAUGCAGACUGCUGAAUUUAUUUCUCUUUGUUAAUAAUUUACUGUUAUUUUCACAUAAAAAACCCCAGAUGCUUUUAGGGCUCAUGUAAAAGAAAAGUAGGAUUACAUUUUAAAUGUUAUUAAAAUUAUGUACUUAAUCUAUAAUUAUUUAAUUGUUGUAAAAAGUCCAAUCAGAUUAAUAAAUUAUAUAAUUACCGAGUUUACAAAUGGAAAACUAUUGACCCUACUGAGCUUAUGAAGUAAUUUGAAAAUGUGAAAGGGAAGGCACCUUCCGUGAUGGGGGAGGCUUCAGUAAGGCACACAUGUAAUCGAAGCACAAGUGGAAGGGCAUAUGGGUAAGUGACUUAAAGGAUCACCUGUACAUUCCAUCAAAUGUGUGUCACUAGAAGUAAAGAGGCAGUUUAUCUUGCUGUGUUUGGCAGUAUUUGUAACUAUAAAAAUUUUAAUUAAUACUAUUUUAAUAAUUCUUUAUCUUUCCUCUUUAAGGAGAAUGUUUUCUGAGAAUUUGUUUUUCACACACAUAAAAGUUUCAUACCAUUCCUGUAGCAUCAUAUUACACACGUUUGCUCAUAUGAAUAUAUAAAGCCAAUUUUGAUUAGA